UGGAUGCCUAUCAACUCUUCCCCACUUCUAACUUUCCAUGAUGCCUUGUUCCCCAUUACCACCGGUUCCUUUUUCCUUCAAAAAGUAAUGAACAACCUUCUUUCUCCUCUUAAUCAUACUUCUUGUUGUGAUGUUAGCAAGGUUGGGAACAAAAGAGAAAUUGAAGGAGCUUCAAGGUUGGCCAACUUCACCAAGUAAAUGCCCAUUUGAUCUCUUCAAAAUGUUGAUUCUAGUGUUUGAAAUCGAUGUGAAGUGGUUGUUGGGGAGAUAUCCAAAUCAAGAGUGGUAGACCGGUGUGGAUCUUGUAAGACUGCCUGUAGAUGUUGUCUUGUCCUGUUGUAAAUUUUGAGUUCUUGUUAUUGUCUACCCCUGUAUUCCUGUACUUUGUAUUUUUGGACUUCUGUAUCUCGGUAUUGUGUAUUUUGUACAGUUUGUAAUUCUGUAACCCAGUUAGUUUGUUAUAGUUUUGUUUGUCCUAAACCAGGUCUUGAGGCCUUGCAGGUCUACUUGGUUCACGCUCUGUGGAUCUGCGGCCGUUUGUCUGCGCACCGGGUCCGGCGAGCCGGGUUCGGGGCGUGACAAAACCCGAGUUGCAACAUUUUAGUGAGAUCUUCAUUGAUGGUGAAGGUUUCAUUUGGAGGUUGAGGACAACCAAUGAAGGAUGAGUUUGACGCCGCUCCUUUGGCCCUUCGGCUUCAAGAUCGAUGGCUUUGUCAUCUCUAAUUCAGGAGUCUAAUAUAGGGAAAGUAGAUUAUUGGUAUUGGUUUAUGAGUGCGUGAAGUGGUAGGAAGUGUUGCUUUACAGAUAGCAUUUUAUAUAUGAUAUUUUCAUGUUCUA
Long non-coding RNA from Dioscorea cayenensis subsp. rotundata (Guinea yam), 837 nucleotides. RefSeq lists it as uncharacterized. The transcript has 3 exons. The record is from RefSeq and is a predicted model, not a curated record. NCBI's taxonomy places the organism in Eukaryota, Viridiplantae, Streptophyta, Magnoliopsida, Dioscoreales, Dioscoreaceae.